This 425-nucleotide ribosomal RNA is filed under the name uncultured bacterium. RNAcentral's name for it is "bacterial SSU rRNA". It matches the Rfam family "Bacterial small subunit ribosomal RNA", at positions 358 to 773 of the family's 1533-position model. The record is from RNAcentral.
GGAAUAUUGGACAAUGGGGGCAACCCUGAUCCAGCAAUGCCGCGUGUGUGAAGAAGGCCUGCGGGUUGUAAAGCACUUUCGGUGGGGAGGACGGACUUUUAGGAUAAUACCCUGAGAGUUUUGACGUUACCCACAUAAGAAGCACCGGCUAACUCUGUGCCAGCAGCCGCGGUAAUACAGAGGGUGCAAGCGUUAAUCGGAAUUACUGGGCGUAAAGGGCGCGUAGGUGGUUAAUUAAGUCGUAUGUGAAAUCCCCGGGCUUAACCUGGGAAUGGCAUAGGAAACUGGUUGACUAGAGUUUGGGAGAGGGAAGUGGAAUUUCCGGUGUAGCGGUGAAAUGCGUAGAUAUCGGAAGGAACACCAGUGGCGAAGGCGACUUCCUGGCCCGAUACUGACACUGAGGCGCGAAAGCGUGGGGAGCAAAC